CAGAAUAGGUGCUGCACAAAAGUGCUGGCAAGACAGCUAUUUUAUUUUUUAUUUGAAAUAAGCAAUGAAGGUUUCACAAGACACUACACUCAAUGCACUUCACAGAGACAGUCAUUUCUCAAGAAGAGCUAAAUUUCACCAGUUUUCACCAUAUUGAAUCUUUGUAUGGAAUUCCUUGUACAGGGUUCUAACAUCGGUACCUAAAGAACGUGGAAAUUCAGCUGAAGCUGCAUGAAAGCAACAUUUAGAGUGUGAAAAGGAUUUCCAUUUAUGCUGCAGCAGGUGCCGGAGCUGGCAGAACAGGGCACGAAGCAGAAAAUGGCCGACAGUGGGGUAACUCGC
Long non-coding RNA from Polypterus senegalus (gray bichir), 342 nucleotides. RefSeq lists it as uncharacterized. The transcript is spliced from 4 exons. NCBI's taxonomy places the organism in Eukaryota, Metazoa, Chordata, Cladistia, Polypteriformes, Polypteridae. The record is from RefSeq and is a predicted model, not a curated record.